GACCUGCUAGCUCAGCCGGUUAGAGCGUCAUGCUGAUAACGCGAGGGCCAAAGGUAUGACCCCCGUGCAGGUCA
This is a non-coding RNA of Ixodes scapularis (black-legged tick), 74 nucleotides long. The record is from Rfam. Lineage: Eukaryota; Metazoa; Arthropoda; Arachnida; Ixodida; Ixodidae.